This 243-nucleotide ribosomal RNA is filed under the name uncultured bacterium. RNAcentral's name for it is "partial 16S ribosomal RNA". The record is from RNAcentral.
CUGCUGCCUUCCGUAGGAGUCUGGGCCGUAUCUCAGUCCCAAUGUGGCCGUUCAUCCUCUCAGACCGGCUACUGAUCGCAGCCUUGGUGGGCCGUUACCCCGCCAACUAGCUAAUCAGACAUGAGCCCAUCCUUCAGCGAUAAAUCUUUGAUUUUAGGAAGAUGCCUUCCCAAAAUGUUAUGCGGUAUUAGCAGUCGUUUCCAACUGUUGUCCCCCUCUGAAGGGCAGGUUGCUCAUGCAUUA